CAUCUUUGGCUUCCUUGAUCUUCCCUGUGGACACCUUUGCUAAUUGGACCUUAUUUAGAGCAGGGGUCUCCAACUUUGGCAACUUUAAGACUUGUGGACUUCAAUUCCCAUAAUUCUGGGAGUUGAAGUCCACAAGUCUUAAAGUUGCCAAGGUUGAUUUAGAGGACAUUCCUUCUCUAUGGCUUAUGGCUUAUGGCAAAGUAGGGUCAGAAUUUUGAGCUCCAUGUUAACUUCUCAAGACCUUCAAGUCGUGACUCAGUUUCUAGUGCGGUCCCUGAUCAUGAGUUUUGCAAGAAUUAAAAUGGUCUUCAAUGUGAGGAGAAUAACUAGGCCUAGAUCUCUGCAGCCAGUCAGCAAGGAUGGAUGAAUGGAUCAAUUGAUUUAUGGAGAAGAGACAAUGGGGAUAUCUACCGUGAACCCAACUGCAUGGGGGCCAGCCAGCUCCAUCCAAAUCAAAGUUCAUUCAGAACAGUGGGAACUAAACAGUUAAAAGUCAAUCACCUAGUCUUAUUUAUUGGAAAGGCACUGAUUUCAAGGGCAGGAGAGGGAGACAGCAAAGAAAAAGGGAGAAAAAUGAAUGAAGACAGGAAAAUAUUAACAAGCAAUAUGUAUAUAAAAUACCAUUUGCUCAAAA
Molecule: long non-coding RNA, 634 nt
Organism: Pantherophis guttatus
Lineage: Eukaryota; Metazoa; Chordata; Lepidosauria; Squamata; Colubridae
Source: RefSeq, a predicted model, not a curated record